Molecule: ribosomal RNA, 506 nt
Filed under: uncultured bacterium
Lineage: Bacteria
Description: partial 16S ribosomal RNA
Rfam family: Bacterial small subunit ribosomal RNA
Source: RNAcentral
ACGAACGCUGGCGGCGUGCCUAAUACAUGCAAGUCGAACGCUUCUUUCCUCCCGAGUGCUUGCACUCAAUUGGAAAGAGGAGUGGCGGACGGGUGAGUAACACGUGGGUAACCUACCCAUCAGAGGGGGAUAACACUUGGAAACAGGUGCUAAUACCGCAUAACAGUUUAUGCCGCAUGGCAUAAGAGUGAAAGGCGCUUUCGGGUGUCGCUGAUGGAUGGACCCGCGGUGCAUUAGCUAGUUGGUGAGGUAACGGCUCACCAAGGCCACGAUGCAUAGCCGACCUGAGAGGGUGAUCGGCCACACUGGGACUGAGACACGGCCCAGACUCCUACGGGAGGCAGCAGUAGGGAAUCUUCGGCAGUGGACGAAAGUCUGACCGAGCAACGCCGCGUGAGUGAAGAAGGUUUUCGGAUCGUAAAACUCUGUUGUUAGAGAAGAACAAGGACGUUAGUAACUGAACGUCCCCUGACGGUAUCUAACCAGAAAGCCACGGCUAACUACGU